This 67-nucleotide transfer RNA is filed under the name Alicycliphilus sp. 69-12. Its description in RNAcentral is "tRNA-Lys". It matches the Rfam family "tRNA", at positions 10 to 71 of the family's 71-position model. From Rfam's summary of the family: Transfer RNA (tRNA) molecules are approximately 80 nucleotides in length. Their secondary structure includes four short double-helical elements and three loops (D, anti-codon, and T loops). The record is from RNAcentral. Lineage: Bacteria; Pseudomonadati; Pseudomonadota; Betaproteobacteria; Burkholderiales; Comamonadaceae.
GCUCAGUUGGUAGAGCAGCGGACUUUUAAUCCGUUGGUCACAAGUUCGAAUCUUGUACGUCCUACCA